AUUGCGCUAGGCACACAUCAUUAUAAUUACAGGAUCUGAACAUCAAUGACCUUGCGCUCCACAUGGGUCUUAGGAAUUGAAAUGUAAAGAACACCAUUCUUCAGCUCUGCAUCUCAAUUUAUUUAUACACUUACAAAGCUGGACAUGUAGAUCACAAAACCUCAACAUACACAUUUCGCCAGGCACUCAUUAUUAUAAUUACAGAAUCUGAACAUCAAUGACCUUGCGCUCCACCUUUGUCUUAGGAAUUGAAAUGUAAAGAACACCAUUCUUGAGCUCUGCCUUGACCUUAUCUUUCUCACAGUUAUCAGGAAGCUGGAGACGAGUAUCGUAAGAGCUAAAACUUGCACCAGACCAACUCGGAUCACCUCCAGCUUCUUCUGCCCUGUGCUCUCCUUUAAUGACAAGGACUUCAUCUUCCACCGACACUUUGACAUCCUCCUUAGAGAGUCCAGGCAUGUCAAAUCUCAUUUUGAUCUCAUUUUCCUCCUCUUUGAUGUCCCACGGUGUUCUCACCUGGCCUCCCCCGCCAGCCCGGCUCCUCCCCGGAAAAGCCAUCGUAUCCUCUAAU
Molecule: long non-coding RNA, 571 nt
Filed under: Citrus maxima (pomelo)
Lineage: Eukaryota; Viridiplantae; Streptophyta; Magnoliopsida; Sapindales; Rutaceae
Description: long non-coding RNA (CMAX_LNC002323)
Source: RNAcentral